This 118-nucleotide small nucleolar RNA is filed under the name Echinops telfairi (small Madagascar hedgehog). RNAcentral describes it as "Small nucleolar RNA SNORA61 (ENSETEG00000025370.1)". Lineage: Eukaryota; Metazoa; Chordata; Mammalia; Afrosoricida; Tenrecidae. The record is from RNAcentral.
AACCCAGAUCUCUUCCCCAGCUGAUCUAAUCGCUGGUCUGAGUGGUCAUCAGUGGAGGGAAAGUAAACUUGAACGGACUUCAAUUCUUCUGUGACCCACAAGCUAGUUUCAAACACAC